Molecule: ribosomal RNA, 446 nt
Filed under: uncultured Anaerolineaceae bacterium
Lineage: Bacteria; Bacillati; Chloroflexota; Anaerolineae; Anaerolineales; Anaerolineaceae
Description: bacterial SSU rRNA
Rfam family: Bacterial small subunit ribosomal RNA
Source: RNAcentral
GCACAAGCAGCGGAGCGUGUGGUUUAAUUCGAUGCUACACGAAGAACCUUACCAGGGUUUGACAUGCAAGUGGUAGGAAUCUGAAAAGUGACCGACCCUUCGGGGAGCUUGCACAGGUGCUGCAUGGCUGUCGUCAGCUCGUGUCGUGAGAUGUUCGGUUAAGUCCGCUAACGAGCGCAACCCUCACUGUGUGUUAUACGUGUCACACGGGACUGCCGGUUUUAAGCCGGAGGAAGGCGGGGAUGACGUCAAGUCAGCAUGGCCUUUAUAUCCUGGGCUACACACACGCUACAAUGGUCUGUACAAUAGGUUGCCAAGCCGCGAGGCGGAGCCAAUCCUUAAAGCAGGCCUCAGUUCAGAUUGUAGGCUGCAACUCGCCUGCAUGAAGUCGGAAUCGCUAGUAAUCGCAGAUCAGCAACGCUGCGGUGAAUACGUUCCCGGGCCUU